This 459-nucleotide ribosomal RNA is filed under the name uncultured bacterium. Its description in RNAcentral is "partial 16S ribosomal RNA". It matches the Rfam family "Bacterial small subunit ribosomal RNA", at positions 338 to 795 of the family's 1533-position model. The record is from RNAcentral.
CCUACGGGUGGCAGCAGUGAGGCAUAUUGGUCAAUGGCCGGAAGGCUGAACCAGCCAAGCCGCGUGAAGGACGAAGGUGCCAAGCAUUGUCAACUUCUUUUGUCAAGGGACAAACUCAGGCUCGAGAGCCUGACCGAGGGUACUUGAAGAACAAGCAUCGGCUCACUCCGUGCCAGCAGCCGCGGUACUACGGGGGAUGCGAGCGUUAUCCGGAUUUAUUGGGUUUAAAGGGUGCGUAGGCGGGCUGUUAAGUCAGCGGGAAAAGCACGUGGCUCAACCCCGGCGAGCCGUUGAAACUGGCUGUCGUGAGAGGGCGAGAGGGAGGCGGAAUGCGCAGUGUAGCGGUGAAAUGCGUAGAUAUUGCGCAGAAAUCCGAUUGCGAAGGCAGCAUACCGGCGGCGAGCUGACGCUGAGGCACGAAAGCGUGGGUAUCGAACAGGAUUAGAUACCCGUGUAGUC